RNAcentral lists this ribosomal RNA (601 nucleotides) under Mycobacterium sp. CRIB-65. RNAcentral describes it as "bacterial SSU rRNA". It matches the Rfam family "Bacterial small subunit ribosomal RNA", at positions 345 to 955 of the family's 1533-position model. Lineage: Bacteria; Bacillati; Actinomycetota; Actinomycetes; Mycobacteriales; Mycobacteriaceae. The record is from RNAcentral.
GAGGCAGCAGUGGGGAAUAUUGCCCCAAUGGGCGCAAGCCUGAUGCAGCGACGCCGCGUGAGGGAUGACGGCCUUCGGGUUGUAAACCUCUUUCAGCAGGGACGAAGCGCAAGUGACGGUACCUGUAGAAGAAGGACCGGCCAACUACGUGCCAGCAGCCGCGGUAAUACGUAGGGUCCGAGCGUUGUCCGGAAUUACUGGGCGUAAAGAGCUCGUAGGUGGUUUGUCGCGUUGUUCGUGAAAACUCACAGCUCAACUGUGGGCGUCCGGGCGAUACGGGCAGACUUGAGUACUGCAGGGGAGACUGGAAUUCCUGGUGUANGGGUGGAAUGCGCAGAUAUCAGGAGGAACACCGGUGGCGAAGGCGGGUCUCUGGGCAGUAACUGACGCUGAGGAGCGAAAGCGUGGGGAGCGAACAGGAUUAGAUACCCUGGUAGUCCACGCCGUAAACGGUGGGUACUAGGUGUGGGUUUCCUUCCUUGGGAUCCGUGCCGUAGCUAACGCAUUAAGUACCCCGCCUGGGGAGUACGGCCGCAAGGCUAAAACUCAAAGAAAUUGACGGGGGCCCGCACAAGCGGCGGAGCAUGUGGAUUAAUUCGAU